This 460-nucleotide ribosomal RNA is filed under the name uncultured bacterium. RNAcentral's name for it is "partial 16S ribosomal RNA". It matches the Rfam family "Bacterial small subunit ribosomal RNA", at positions 338 to 795 of the family's 1533-position model. The record is from RNAcentral.
CCUACGGGAGGCAGCAGUGAGGAAUAUUGGUCAAUGGACGAGAGUCUGAACCAGCCAAGUAGCUUGAAGGAUGACUGCCCUAUGGGUUGUAAACUUCUUUUAUAAAGGAAUAAAACGAGGCACGUGUGCCUUUUUGCAUGUACUUUAUGAAUAAGGAUCGGCUAACUCCGUGCCAGCAGCCGCGGUAAUACGGAGGAUCCGAGCGUUAUCCGGAUUUAUUGGGUUUAAAGGGAGCGUAGAUGGGUUGUUAAGUCAGUUGUGAAAGUUUGCGGCUCAACCGUAAAAUUGCAAUUGAUACUGGCAGUCUUGAGUACAGUUGAGGUAGGCGGAAUUCGUGGUGUAGCGGUGAAAUGCUUAGAUAUCACGAAGAACCCCGAUGGCGAAGGCAGCUUACUAAACUGUGACUGACAUUGAUGCUCGAAAGUGUGGGUAGCAAACAGGAUUAGAUACCCUUGUAGUC